UGCGGAGGGAUCAUUACACAACAAAAUAUGAAGGCCUGGCUUUCGCGGCCGGCUGAAGUAUUUUUUUCACCCAUGUCUUUUGCGCACUUGUUGUUUCCUGGGCGGGUUCGCCCGCCACCAGGACCAAACCAUAAACCUUUUUUUCUUAUGCAGUUUCCAUCAGCGUCAGUAAAAACAAUGUAAUUAUUACAACUUUCAACAACGGAUCUCUUGGUUCUGGCAUCGAUGAAGAACGCAGCGAAAUGCGAUACGUAGUGUGAAUUGCAGAAUUCAGUGAAUCAUCGAAUCUUUGAACGCACAUUGCGCCCUUUGGUAUUCCAAAGGGCAUGCCUGUUCGAGCGUCAUUUGUACCUUCAAGCUUUGCUUGGUGUUGGGCGUUUUUUUGUCUCCCUCUUUCUGGGAGACUCGCCUUAAAACGAUUGGCAGCCGGCCUACUGGUUUCGGAGCGCAGCACAUUUUUUGCGCUUUGUAUCAGGAGAAAAGGACGGUACUCCAUCAAGACUCUACAUUUUUCACUUUUGACCUCGGAUCAGGUAGGGAUACCCGCUGAACUUAAGCAU
This 560-nucleotide ribosomal RNA is filed under the name Bipolaris oryzae. Its description in RNAcentral is "eukaryotic LSU rRNA". The stretch from base 191 to 344 matches the Rfam family "5.8S ribosomal RNA". The record is from RNAcentral. Lineage: Eukaryota; Fungi; Ascomycota; Dothideomycetes; Pleosporales; Pleosporaceae.